GCCGAUUUCAGUGUGUGUUCGUUCCUUGAGCGACGCUGAAAGGUAUUGCGCCAGACAACCAAAAGUUGUGCUGUUGCGCGUUGUAGGUAUUAGUUAAGCCUUUAGCUAAUAGACGGGAUACUUAAGCCGUAAAGUCGGCAUACAUAUGGGACCCAACA
This 158-nucleotide non-coding RNA is filed under the name Dasania marina DSM 21967. Its description in RNAcentral is "DABA-DC-AT RNA". It matches the Rfam family "DABA-DC-AT RNA". Lineage: Bacteria; Pseudomonadati; Pseudomonadota; Gammaproteobacteria; Cellvibrionales; Spongiibacteraceae. The record is from RNAcentral.